This 497-nucleotide ribosomal RNA is filed under the name uncultured bacterium. Its description in RNAcentral is "partial 16S ribosomal RNA". It matches the Rfam family "Bacterial small subunit ribosomal RNA", at positions 28 to 507 of the family's 1533-position model. The record is from RNAcentral.
GACGAACGCUGGCGGCGUGCCUAAUACAUGCAAGUUGAGCGCUGAAGGUUGGUACUUGUACCAACUGGAUGAGCAGCGAACGGGUGAGUAACGCGUGGGGAAUCUGCCUUUGAGCGGGGGACAACAUUUGGAAACGAAUGCUAAUACCGCAUAAAAACUUUAAACACAAGUUUUAAGUUUGAAAGAUGCAAUUGCAUCACUCAAAGAUGAUCCCGCGUUGUAUUAGCUAGUUGGUGAGGUAAAGGCUCACCAAGGCGAUGAUACAUAGCCGACCUGGGAGGGUGAUCGGCCACAUUGGGACUGAGACACGGCCCAAACUCCUACGGGAGGCAGCAGUAGGGAAUCUUCGGCAAGGGACGAAAGUCUGACCGAGCAACGCCGCGUGAGUGAAGAAGGUUUUCGGAUCGUAAAACUCUGUUGGUAGAGAAGAACGUUGGUGAGAGUGGAAAGCUCAUCAAGUGACGGUAACUACCCAGAAAGGGACGGCUAACUACGUG